This is a long non-coding RNA of Cyprinus carpio carpio, 1013 nucleotides long. The record is from Ensembl. Lineage: Eukaryota; Metazoa; Chordata; Actinopteri; Cypriniformes; Cyprinidae.
AAGUAAAAGUACAGAUUUUCCCCCAAACAUUUACUUAAGUAAGAGUAAAAGUACCCAUCUUUAAAUAUACUCCAAAAGUAUUAGUUACCCAAAAAAUUUACUCAAGUAAAUGUAACCAAGUAAAUGUAACUCGUUGCUACCCACCUCGGAGUAGUUUGGACUUUGCGAGUUUGACUCGGGAGUGUGAUCUCCCGCGGACGAAACAAUAGGUUACUGUCAUAACCCCGAUCCACCUAUGGGAAGGGCAUCCGUACCUGACCUCUGCAGAAGCAUCCAAUUGCACCAAGUCUGGCUAGACAGACAGAAGAGCGCAGACAAUGCCAGGUAAGGCCCCGCCCCCUUACCUAGGGACAUAUAACAGCUGCAGCGCUGCUAUUCUCCAGUAAGUAUAUUCACUUCUCGUGUGGCAACCGGGGGAAAGCUGGUGGAUCUCUCCACUCAAUGUUUCAGAGAACUGGGGUUACGACAGUUACCUAUUGUUCUCUUUCAUCAUCUCAUGUUCGAGAUCCACCUAUGGGAGAGACAUGGACAGCUCCCCCAUUGCCCAAUACACUCACAGUGAGGUUCUGAAAGCCAGAGAAGGACGGUCGCCCCAGGGAGGCGGUGCCUGACACGUCCCAUACUCAUGAACCUGCAAUACUGAUGCACACACAUGACUGCUGUGCACAUGCAGCACAUGAAACAUGUAUGCAUCACACACGAUAACCAAUGUGCAUAUAAAUACACCCAGAAAAGGAAUGGAAAUUCAUGCUUAGUGACAGGAAUGUGCAUGGCCAGCCAGUCCAUUCACUUCUUAUUCGUCACUUGCAACGGGGUUGCAGGGAAGGGCUAAGAAGACCCCACCCCUAAAACCGAAUGUGCUACUGAGAUACUGGUGACAUCCAGCCGGUAAUAACGCACAAAAGUAUGAGGAGAAGCUUAACUGGCAGCGGAGCAGAUGUCCUGCAGUGACACUCCCCUAAACAAAGCCCAAGAGGUGGCAAUGCCCCUCGUGGAAUGAGCUCUGAUGUCCC